UGUAACUUGCUAUUUUUUCCUCUUUGAGCUAAGCUCAUAGUUCAAAGAAAUUUUAUUUUUUUUAAAUACUACUUAUGACAUCUCAAAUAUAUUGCUACUGAACGCUCAAAAUAUUGUAAACAUAAAGUCUAAGAAACUCUUAAAUGCAACAUGGUAGGUCCCACACAUCUAUUCAGGGGAUGAUGGAGCGGUGAGAAAGGUCCCACACGUGUAUUCAGGGCUGAUGGAGCGGUGAGAAAGGUCCCACACAUCUAUUCAGGGGAUGAUGGAGCGGUGAGAAAGGUCCCACACGUGUAUUCAGGGCUGAUGGAGCGGUGAGAAAGGUCCCACACGUGUAUUCAGGGCUGAUGGAGCGGUGAGAAAGGUCCCACACAUCUAUUCAGGGGAUGAUGGAGCGGUGAGAAAGGUCCCACACGUGUAUUCAGGGCUGAUGGAGCGGUGAGAAAGGUCCCACACAUCUAUUCAGGGGAUGAUGGAGUGGUGAGAAAGGUCCCACACAUCUAUUCAGGGGAUGAUGGAGUGGUGAGAAAGGUCCCACACGUGUAUUCAGGGCUGAUGGAGCAGUGAGAAAGGUCCCACACGUGUAUUCAGGGCUGAUGGAGUGGUGAGAAAGGUCCCACACGUG
Molecule: non-coding RNA, 625 nt
Organism: Chlorocebus sabaeus (green monkey)
Lineage: Eukaryota; Metazoa; Chordata; Mammalia; Primates; Cercopithecidae
Source: RefSeq, a predicted model, not a curated record